GACGGACGCUGGCGGCGUGCUUAACACAUGCAAGUCGAACGGAAAGGCCCUGCUUUUGUGGGGUGCUCGAGUGGCGAACGGGUGAGUAACACGUGAGUAACCUGCCCUUGACUUUGGGAUAACUUCAGGAAACUGGGGCUAAUACCGGAUAGGAGCUCCUGCUGCAUGGUGGGGGUUGGAAAGUUUCGGCGGUUGGGGAUGGACUCGCGGCUUAUCAGCUUGUUGGUGGGGUAGUGGCUUACCAAGGCUUUGACGGGUAGCCGGCCUGAGAGGGUGACCGGCCACAUUGGGACUGAGGUACGGCCCAGACUCCUACGGGAGGCAGCAGUGGGGAAUAUUGCACAAUGGGCGGAAGCCUGAUGCAGCAACGCCGCGUGCGGGAUGACGGCCUUCGGGUUGUAAACCGCUUUCGCCUGUGACGAAGCGUGAGUGACGGUAAUGGGUAAAGAAGCACCGGCUAACUACGUG
This 468-nucleotide ribosomal RNA is filed under the name uncultured bacterium. RNAcentral's name for it is "partial 16S ribosomal RNA". It matches the Rfam family "Bacterial small subunit ribosomal RNA", at positions 28 to 507 of the family's 1533-position model. The record is from RNAcentral.